Long non-coding RNA from Callithrix jacchus (white-tufted-ear marmoset), 1081 nucleotides. RefSeq lists it as uncharacterized. Lineage: Eukaryota; Metazoa; Chordata; Mammalia; Primates; Cebidae. The record is from RefSeq and is a predicted model, not a curated record.
AGACGGAGAAAGGAGAAAUCUAUGUCAGUUUGAGGUUGAUGACAAAGAUCUCAUUUGGAACAAGAUUCUGAGUCUUCCUCCCUGUAGUCAGCCCUUUGGAAGUGAUGGCUAUCAAAGACUAAGAUACAUCCUUGGUAAAGAAAGAGUCAAGCAAAUUGAAGAAAUAAUGGUGGUGAUCUCAGUAGUUCAUUGAUGAGGGAUCAAUGGUGCCACCUGAUUAACUAAGACAUCCACACCUGCGACAUGGUUUGAUGUGGUUCCUGAAGAAACACCAGGGAACAGUUCGGGGAGUCUCCUAUUUCCUACAAGCAUUAAAUGUCCUGCAACCAGGAACAGAGCAUUGGACUGGAAAGGUAUGGACAAUAAUAUUCAGUCAGCAGUACAGAUAGGAAAUGAAGCUGAAUUAUACAGUGCUUAAAAACAUAUUGCUCUGAAUUAAGUGGAUGUUGAUUGAAAUUUAGGGUCUGUCACUUGUUUGAAAUGGGACUUUAGGCAAAUCAUUUCAUCUCUGUAUCCUUAGGAUCCUCAGAUACACAGUAGAGAAAAUAAUAUUACCUGCCUCCAAGAGCAUUGCAGGAAUUAAAGAGAUGAGGUAUAGAGAAUAUAUAGCUUGACACACAGUGGACAUUCUAUAAUUGUCAAUACCUAUUAUUUUAUAGAAAGGUAAAUAUCUACUAUGUGGCUUUAGGUCUAUUUCACGGUUAACUUUAAUCUACACAUACCCCUUUACUUAUGACGGGGUUAUGUCCUGAUAGAUCCUUUGUAAGUAAGUUGAAAAUACACUUAAUGCACCUAACUACUGAAUAUCAUAACUUAGCCUAGCCUACCUUAAACAUACUCAGGACACUUACCUUAGCUUACAGUUGGCCAAAAGCAUCUAGCACAAAGCCUAUUUUAUAUGAACGUUAUAAAAAUUUGAAUCAACAUUCAAAAUUUGAAGCACAGUUGUUUCUACUGAACAUAUAGUGAUUUCACACCAUCAUAAAGUUGAAAAAUCAUUAAGUUGAACUAUGGUAGGUCUGGGACUGUCUGUAGUCAAUUCAUCCUGGAGAUAUUUCCCCAAAUAUUACUUUGUACUGAU